CAUUUGGGCGGACCGCAAGGUCGCCGGGAAUGCGUCAGGGGAAUCCGGUGAGAAACCGGAACGGUCGCGCCGCUGUGAGCGGGAACGAACCCCGAGCGAAACCACUGUCCCGCCUGCAAGGCGGGAUGGGAAGGUUCGGGAAGUAGGCUGAGAAGCCCGCAAGUCAGAAACCCUGCCAUACGAACAGUCUCCGC
RNAcentral lists this non-coding RNA (194 nucleotides) under Lentisphaerota bacterium. The record is from RNAcentral. Lineage: Bacteria; Pseudomonadati; Lentisphaerota.